RNAcentral lists this ribosomal RNA (253 nucleotides) under uncultured bacterium. RNAcentral describes it as "partial 16S ribosomal RNA". It matches the Rfam family "Bacterial small subunit ribosomal RNA", at positions 524 to 776 of the family's 1533-position model. The record is from RNAcentral.
UACGUAGGGUGCAAGCGUUGUCCGGAAUUAUUGGGCGUAAAGAGCUCGUAGGCGGUUUGUCGCGUCUGCCGUGAAAGUCCGGGGCUCAACUCCGGAUCUGCGGUGGGUACGGGCAGACUAGAGUGAUGUAGGGGAGACUGGAAUUCCUGGUGUAGCGGUGAAAUGCGCAGAUAUCAGGAGGAACACCGGUGGCGAAGGCGGCAUCCUGGACCAAUUCUGACGCUGAGGAGCGAAAGCCAGGGGAGCAAACGGG